Molecule: transfer RNA, 67 nt
Filed under: Marmota monax (woodchuck)
Lineage: Eukaryota; Metazoa; Chordata; Mammalia; Rodentia; Sciuridae
Description: tRNA.Ala
Source: RNAcentral
GGUUGUAGCUCAGUGGUAAGACGCUUGCCUAGCAUGCAUGAAGUAUUGGGUUCAAUCCCCAGAAUCA